This 252-nucleotide ribosomal RNA is filed under the name uncultured microorganism. RNAcentral describes it as "partial 16S ribosomal RNA". It matches the Rfam family "Bacterial small subunit ribosomal RNA", at positions 524 to 776 of the family's 1533-position model. The record is from RNAcentral.
UACGUAGGUGGCAAGCGUUGUCCGGAUUUAUUGGGCGUAAAGCGAGCGCAGGUGGUUUAAUAAGUCUGAUGUAAAAGGCAGUGGCUCAACCAUUGUGUGCAUUGGAAACUGUUAGACUUGAGUGCAGUAGAGGAGAGUGGAAUUCCAUGUGUAGCGGUGAAAUGCGUAGAUAUAUGGAGGAACACCGGUGGCGAAAGCGGCUCUCUGGACUGUAACUGACGCUGAGGAGCGAAAGCGUGGGGAGCGAACAGG